CUUAAUUGGGCGUUAAGUUGCAGGGUAUAGACCCGAAACCCGGUGAUCUAGCCAUGGGCAGGUUGAAGGUUGGGUAACACUAACUGGAGGACCGAACCGACUAAUGUUGAAAAAUUAGCGGAUGACCUGUGGCUGGGGGUGAAAGGCCAAUCAAACCGGGAGAUAGCUGGUUCUCCCCGAAAGCUAUUUAGGUAGCGCCUCGUGAAUUCAUCUCCGGGGGUAGAGCACUGUUUCGGCUAGGGGGCCAUCCCGGCUUACCAACCCGAUGCAAACUGCGAAUACCGGAGAAUGUUAUCACGGGAGACACACGGCGGGUGCUAACGUCCGUCGUGAAGAGGGAAACAACCCAGACCGCCAGCUAAGGUCCCAAAGUCAUGGUUAAGUGGGAAACGAUGUGGGAAGGCCCAGACAGCCAGGAUGUUGGCUUAGAAGCAGCCAUCAUUUAAAGAAAGCGUAAUAGCUCACUGGUCGAGUCGGCCUGCGCGGAAGAUGUAACGGGGCUAAACCAUGCACCGAAGCUGCGGCAGCGACGUUUAUGCGUUGUUGGGUAGGGGAGCGUUCUGUAAGCCUGCGAAGGUGGCCUGUGAGGGUUGCUGGAGGUAUCAGAAGUGCGAAUGCUGACAUAAGUAACGAUAAAGCGGGUGAAAAGCCCGCUCGCCGGAAGACCAAGGGUUCCUGUCCAACGUUAAUCGGGGCAGGGUGAGUCGACCCCUAAGGCGAGGCCGAAAGGCGUAGUCGAUGGGAAACGGGUUAAUAUUCCCGUACUUGGUGUUACUGCGAAGGGGGGACGGAGAAGGCUAUGUUGGCCGGGCGACGGUU
Molecule: ribosomal RNA, 819 nt
Filed under: Salmonella enterica subsp. enterica serovar Bovismorbificans
Lineage: Bacteria; Pseudomonadati; Pseudomonadota; Gammaproteobacteria; Enterobacterales; Enterobacteriaceae
Description: partial 23S ribosomal RNA
Rfam family: Bacterial large subunit ribosomal RNA
Source: RNAcentral